GACGAACGCUGGCGGCGUGCCUAAUACAUGCAAGUUGAGCGAUGAAGAUUGGUGCUUGCCCCAAUUUGAAGAGCAGCGAGCGGGUGAGUAACGCGUGGGGAAUCUGCCUUUGAGCGGGGGACAACAUUUGGAAACGAAUGCUAAUACCGCAUAACAACUUUAAACAUAAGUUUUAAGUUUGAAAGAUGCAAUUGCAUCACUCAAAGAUGAUCCCGCGUUGUAUUAGCUAGUUGGUGAGGUAAAGGCUCACCAAGGCGAUGAUACAUAGCCGACCUGAGAGGGUGAUCGGCCACAUUGGGACUGAGACACGGCCCAAACUCCUACGGGAGGCAGCAGUAGGGAAUCUUCGGCAAUGGACGAAAGUCUGACCGAGCAACGCCGCGUGAGUGAAGAAGGUUUUCGGAUCGUAAAACUCUGUUGGUAGAGAAGAACGUUGGUGAGAGUGGAAAGCUCAUCAAGUGACGGUAACUACCCAGAAAGGGACGGCUAACUACGUG
This 497-nucleotide ribosomal RNA is filed under the name uncultured bacterium. RNAcentral describes it as "partial 16S ribosomal RNA". It matches the Rfam family "Bacterial small subunit ribosomal RNA", at positions 28 to 507 of the family's 1533-position model. The record is from RNAcentral.